Molecule: long non-coding RNA, 1403 nt
Filed under: Gallus gallus (chicken)
Lineage: Eukaryota; Metazoa; Chordata; Aves; Galliformes; Phasianidae
Description: long non-coding RNA NONGGAT001570
Source: RNAcentral
AGUUAAUAAAGUGGCAAGCUAAACAAAUGGACCCAAAUGCCACACCAGCAGCUGUAGCUGGUCAGCAGGAGGGCACUCUGCCAUAUACCCCUCAGCUGCACACGUGCACCGUCAUCAUGUAAGCGUUACUAUUUUGCCAAGAGGCUUGAAGCUCUGAGCCAAAGUUGGACCAAGAACCAGAAGAAAAAAGAAUACUAAGUGGUGAAGGGAGUCCCAGAAGCCAUACGUAAAAGCAGCUUCCUCAGAAAACUGACACACACUGCAGACUCCCAUGGCACUGACUCUAAGGGUUCAGCACACUCUAAUUAGCCUUUGGAUAACACCAACCCUACUGGUCCAUUUCCAGGGCUUUCGCUUCAGUCACUGCAAUGCUAAGGAGCUUUAUUCAAAUCUCUAACUCCACUACUUACACAAUUGUGUUUUGUCCCUUUUCUCCCCUCUGAGUGCUAACCAUUUUUUGCCUCGUUUGACCUUUGAUUUUGCAAAGCAGCAGGCACUCAUAGCACAUCUGGUUCUUGAGAAUGGCUCAGGUGAACAGGCAGCUCCAACUCCUGCUUAAGCAACAGGCCAGAAUCUAAACCUUCUGCUACUUCAGAAAUUAAAGGUAGAUGUGUGCAGCAACAGAGACAUUGCAGCUGACUGCAGACCACAACUACUGAUCAUUUUGUACUACUGCAUACUCAGUGUUCUCCCCAGAUUCCACACUGAUGCAAUUAGGUAAGGUUCUCAGACUAUCAAGAAUGUGACUCAAUGCCAUUAACUUUUGGAGCACUGAUCUGUUAUGUCUGAAAACAAGGCACUGAUGCAGUACGUGCUUCUGCAUUUAUAAGAUUCCCACAAAAAUUUAUUUUUCCCCAUUGGAAAAAAAACCUAGUGAUGAAUUCACAGGAAAGCCCUUUCUUAGGGAUCUCAAGCGGGAUUUCUUCCUCUACAUAAUCACAAUUCCUUGUGACCUCUGUCAGUCACUCCUUUCUGCUAACUAAUUAGAAAAAACCCUAACCUGCUCCCUGAUACCAUGCUAGCCAGCACUCUAGCACUGCCUGAAGAAGUUAGUUACAUGUUUCCUGAAGACAGACAGACACCCCUUCAGCCUCUAUGAAUAAACCAAACACUACACUCGAGCACAGCUCACUUUAUAGCCAAGCUGCUUGUUCUGGGCCACAGCAGCCAUACAAACCUGAGAACAAAGAAAAAAAAAAAGAAAGAAAACCGACUGGAAACAAACUUAAAGCACAUUGGAACACUUUUUCCAUGGAAUAAAAACAACGCAGAAAGGAGGAAGAUUUGGAGGGCACUCAUUACACAGCGCUGAGGCCAGGCAUGGUGCCAGCCUUUACUCGGAUACAAUCAUUUUGCAGCACAUUUGCUUUUAAAGUUACCAGCCAGAGGUGAAUAAAGGAAGG